Sapajus apella (tufted capuchin) is the source of this 555-nucleotide non-coding RNA. The record is from the annotation of a RefSeq genome assembly. NCBI's taxonomy places the organism in Eukaryota, Metazoa, Chordata, Mammalia, Primates, Cebidae.
AACACCAAACACUGACUUCCCCCAAAAGCCUGAGAGGGAAUAAGAGAGGCCUGGGGAGCCCAGCUGUGCUGUGGGCCCGGGAGGAAGAGCUCUGGGUGUCUCACGAUGGCCUGGACUUCCCUCCUGCUCCCUCUCCUCACUCUCUGCACAGGCUCUGAGGCCUCCUAUGAGCUGACACAGCCACCCUCCGUGUCAGUGUCACCAGGACAGACGGCCAGGAUCACUUGCUCUGGAGAUGCAUUGCCAAAAAAAUAUGCUUCUUGGUACCAGCAGAAGCCAGGCCAGAUCCCUGUGCUGGUGAUAUAUAAAGACAGCGAGAGACCCUCAGGGAUCCCUGAGCGAUUCUCUGGCUCCAGCUCGGGGACAACUGCCACCUUGACCAUCAGUGGGGCCCAGGCAGAGGAUGAGGCUGACUAUUACUGUGGCUCCUGGGACAGCAGUGGUACACAUCCCACAGUGGCACAGGCAGAUGGGGAAGUGAGACAGAAACCCCUUCCCUCUCUGUGUCACCCUCUCUUUCCAGCCCCAGCAGGACUGUGAACAAAGCCAUAAGCA